AGUGAACGCUGGCGGUAGGCCUAACACAUGCAAGUCGAACGGCAGCACAGUAAGAGCUUGCUCUUACGGGUGGCGAGUGGCGGACGGGUGAGGAAUACAUCGGAAUCUACUUUUUCGUGGGGGAUAACGUAGGGAAACUUACGCUAAUACCGCAUACGACCUACGGGUGAAAGCAGGGGAUCUUCGGACCUUGCGCGAUUGAAUGAGCCGAUGUCGGAUUAGCUAGUUGGCGGGGUAAAGGCCCACCAAGGCGACGAUCCGUAGCUGGUCUGAGGGGAUGAUCAGCCACACUGGAACUGAGACACGGUCCAGACUCCUACGGGAGGCAGCAGUGGGGAAUAUUGGACAAUGGGCGCAAGCCUGAUCCAGCCGUACCGCGUGGGUGAAGAAGGCCUUCGGGUUGUAAAGCCCUUUUGUUGGGAAAGAAAAGCAGCAGGUUAAUACCCCGCUGUUCGGACGGUACCCAAAGAAUAAGCACCGGCUAACUUCGU
Molecule: ribosomal RNA, 491 nt
Filed under: uncultured bacterium
Lineage: Bacteria
Description: partial 16S ribosomal RNA
Rfam family: Bacterial small subunit ribosomal RNA
Source: RNAcentral